RNAcentral lists this ribosomal RNA (487 nucleotides) under Dendrelaphis pictus. RNAcentral describes it as "partial 16S ribosomal RNA". It matches the Rfam family "Bacterial large subunit ribosomal RNA", at positions 1855 to 2608 of the family's 2925-position model. Lineage: Eukaryota; Metazoa; Chordata; Lepidosauria; Squamata; Colubridae. The record is from RNAcentral.
ACGCCUGCCCAGUGAACAAUUAAACGGCCGCGGUACCCUAACCGUGCAAAGGUAGCAUAAUCAUUUGUCUACUAAUUAUAGACCUGUAUGAAAGGCAAAAUGAGGGUCCAACUGUCUCUUAUAGUAAAUCUAUUAAACUGAUCUCCUAGUAAAAAAGCUAGAAUUACAACAUAAGACCAGAAGACCCUGUGAAGCUUAAAUUAAACUAUUAAACCCAAUAAUAGCUAAUUUCGGUUGGGGCGACCUUGGAAAAAAAAAGAACUUCCAAAUACAUGAUAAUAUCAUAAAACAAGGCCCACAAGCCAAAUUACGACCCAGUAUAACUGAGAAUUGAAACAAGUUACUCCAGGGAUAACAGCGCAAUCUUCUUCAAGAGCCCAUAUCAAAAAGAAGGUUUACGACCUCGAUGUUGGAUCAGGACAUCCUAAUGGUGCAGAAGCUAUUAAGGGUUCGUUUGUUCAACGAUUAACAGUCCUACGUGAUCUGA